Molecule: ribosomal RNA, 285 nt
Filed under: Triticum aestivum (bread wheat)
Lineage: Eukaryota; Viridiplantae; Streptophyta; Magnoliopsida; Poales; Poaceae
Description: partial small subunit ribosomal RNA
Source: RNAcentral
AUGGAUGUCUACUUGCCGGGCUGCCCACCUAAACCGGUGGCAGUUAUAGAUGCCCUAACAAAACUUCGUAAGAAGAUAUCGCGAGAAAUAGUUGAGGAUCGAACUCUGUCUCAAAAUAAAAAUAAAUGUUUUACUACCAGUCACAAGCUUUAUGUUAGGCGCAGUACUCAUACAGGAACUUAUGAGCAAGAAUUGCUCUAUCAAUCACCAUCUACAUUAGAUAUAUCUUCUGAAACUUUUUUCAAAUCCAAAAGUUCAGUACCUUCCUACAAAUUAGUGAAUUAG